GAUGAACGCUGGCGGCGUGCCUAAUACAUGCAAGUCGAGCGAACAGACGAGGAGCUUGCUCCUCUGACGUUAGCGGCGGACGGGUGAGUAACACGUGGAUAACCUACCUAUAAGACUGGGAUAACUUCGGGAAACCGGAGCUAAUACCGGAUAACAUGUUGAACCGCAUGAUUCAACAGUGAAAGACGGUCUUGCUGUCACUUAUAGAUGGAUCCGCGCCGCAUUAGCUAGUUGGUAAGGUAACGGCUUACCAAGGCAACGAUGCGUAGCCGACCUGAGAGGGUGAUCGGCCACACUGGAACUGAGACACGGUCCAGACUCCUACGGGAGGCAGCAGUAGGGAAUCUUCCGCAAUGGGCGAAAGCCUGACGGAGCAACGCCGCGUGAGUGAAGAAGGUCUUCGGAUCGUAAAACUCUGUUAUUAGGGAAGAACAAAUGUGUAAGUAACUAUGCACGUCUUGACGGUACCUAAUCAGAAAGCCACGGCUAACUACGUG
This 497-nucleotide ribosomal RNA is filed under the name uncultured bacterium. Its description in RNAcentral is "partial 16S ribosomal RNA". It matches the Rfam family "Bacterial small subunit ribosomal RNA", at positions 28 to 507 of the family's 1533-position model. The record is from RNAcentral.